GAUGAACGCUAGCUACAGGCUUAACACAUGCAAGUCGAGGGACCGGCGCACGGGUGUGUAACACGUAUCCCACCUGCCCUUUACUCGGGGAUAGCCUUUCGAAAGAAAGAUUAAUACCCGAUCUAAAGGAUGGGGAUGCGUUCCAUUAGGUUGUGGGUAAGGUAACAGCUCACCAAGCCUUCGAUGGCUGGGGGUUCUGAGAGGAAGGUACACUACAUUGGAGAUGAGACACGGUCCAAACUCCUACGGGAGGCAGCAGUGAGGAAUACUGGUCAAUGGACGCUAGUCUGAACAAGCCAAGUAGAGUGAAGGAUGAAUGCGUAUGAGUCGAAAUCUUCCUUGAAAUAAGAAUAGGUAUUAUAUGAAUAAGGAUCGGCUAACUCCGUGCCAGCAGCCGCGGUAAUUC
Molecule: ribosomal RNA, 406 nt
Filed under: uncultured bacterium
Lineage: Bacteria
Description: partial 16S ribosomal RNA
Rfam family: Bacterial small subunit ribosomal RNA
Source: RNAcentral